Non-coding RNA from Mus musculus (house mouse), 293 nucleotides. The record is from the annotation of a RefSeq genome assembly. Lineage: Eukaryota; Metazoa; Chordata; Mammalia; Rodentia; Muridae.
AGAUUACUCUGAAACAGUCUGGCCCUGGGAUAGUGCAGCCAUCCCAGCCCGUCAGACUUACUUGCACUUUCUCUGGGUUUUCACUGAGCACUUCUGGUAUAGGUGUAACCUGGAUUCGUCAGCCCUCAGGGAAGGGUCUGGAGUGGCUGGCAACCAUUUGGUGGGAUGAUGAUAACCGCUACAACCCAUCUCUAAAGAGCAGGCUCGCAGUCUCCAAAGACACCUCCAACAACCAAGCAUUCCUGAAUAUCAUCACUGUGGAAACUGCAGAUACUGCCAUAUACUACUGUGCU